GGGAAAAUUAGAAGUUGAUAAAAAGUAUCUAUUUUUACAUGGAUGUUUUAAUGAAAUAUUAGUGUACGUAUUAAUUUUAUAUGGUACCAUGAUUCAUUAAUAUUUUAAUAGUAGUACCUGAGACAAGGCUUAUAUUCUUUAAUUGUUUCAUGGUGUAUUCACGUGUCAUUUCUACAUAAUUGACAUAAAUGUAGUAUAUUAAAGGAUUAAUGGAUAAGUACCAACAUAUUCUUCCACAGCAUAUUUUAUUUUUCUUUAGUACUAAUAGCAAGUACCUUUGUUUUCUUCUUUCAAGUUCGUUGAUAGCAGCAGCAAAUAUCUUUUGCUUAAAUUAAUCAAUAGUACCAGCAAGUAUUUGAUUCCUUCCUUCAAAUUUUCACAGUAGCAGCAAUCGAUUUUCCUCCUCUUCAAAUUAAUGAAGUGCUACAGAAACUUGUUCCUUCUUUAAAUUUCAACGUAGUGCGGUAGUAACCUAUUAAAGGUUCCUUUUAUGAAAUUUCCUCAAGUUCUCUCAAAUCCAUCCAAGAUCAAGUAUAGCUUUAUUCCUUCGUCGAUUUCAUGAUUAUAAUUUCGAUCCCCUCCGAAUCUUAGCAAUUUCGGGAUUACUUUGUGUUGAAGUUGAAGCUUUCUUCUAGGUGAAGUAUCCUAAGAUUAAGGAUUUUCUUGUGUGAUUGAGAUUUUGGACGAAACGGGAAGUGAACUUGGAAAGGCGUAAAGAGCGUAAAAGGUACUGACGACAGGUUUUGGUGACCCACCCGCCUAGGACAUAUAUUUUGCUAUUUGGAGCGCUCUUUGUCCAGAGCCUAUAUUUUGGUACAGUUUGCUACUAUUACAUAUAUGUACAUUAUUCAGGGGUACGACGGGGCCCUGUCCCGUCCUAUGAUUCUGUUAUGAUCUGUAGAGGUCUGUAGAGAUACUUGUGUGGGUUCUGUAUAUGUUUUGAUAUGAUAUGAUCUGUGACAGCCUCAUCGGCUUCCAUGUACUAUGCCGGUGCAUCUAUGAUAAUUAUUAAUGUCAAA
This is a long non-coding RNA of Lycium barbarum (goji berry), 1019 nucleotides long. RefSeq lists it as uncharacterized. The transcript is spliced from 3 exons. The record is from RefSeq and is a predicted model, not a curated record. NCBI's taxonomy places the organism in Eukaryota, Viridiplantae, Streptophyta, Magnoliopsida, Solanales, Solanaceae.